This is a long non-coding RNA of Oncorhynchus keta (chum salmon), 3404 nucleotides long. RefSeq lists it as uncharacterized. The record is from RefSeq and is a predicted model, not a curated record. NCBI's taxonomy places the organism in Eukaryota, Metazoa, Chordata, Actinopteri, Salmoniformes, Salmonidae. The transcript has 3 exons.
GCCAAUCAGCGGUCUACUUGCAUGAAUAUUUUUGAUGACCGGUAUAUGCCCACACCAUUCUGUUGUUAGGGUACGCCCAAACCAUUCCAACACAGAAAAGCUGCUUUAAGAAGUUUACAUACUUAAUUACAAAUUCACUCAUAUUGUAAUUAAUUACAGGUCAUAGUUGAAAGAAAUCUGGAAAAACUGGACAGUGACUUUAAAAGAGAAGCACAUCCUUUAUGUGUUAAAAAAGUGCCAUUGAUUAUUUAGAACAUGAGGUUCCUAUGUGACGUUCAUGUGUUCAUGACCGGAUAGGAACUCUGAUGUUUUAUCCACAGUAAGCUGGGAAGACGGUGUAGAGUACUGUACAAUUGAAUCAGGCUGCCAAUAUCAAACAUCAUCGUCAUGCCAACAAGUAACAGGGGAAUUUGGCAUUCCUUUGUGAAGAGCUCUUGUACCUAAGCAAACUAUCUGUGUGUACUGAGUGAUGAAAGGGGGAGUGCUUUUACCACAGUGACGAGAGAGAGACGGGUAGAGAAAGAAAGAGAGGGAGGGAGAAGGAGCGCCAGUCCAGCACAGCCCGGGAUCGAAACAAACAAAUCCAGGGACGAGAGGAGGCAGGGAUUCAAUCUUCCCUCUUCACCUUCCAUGAACCCCGGAGCAUCCUGUACAAGCCUCCCAGACAGCAGUGCACGACCAGAGUGAGUCUGACAACAUGGAUCCCCCUGAGGAGGGGAGGAGGAGGGCAACCCUCGGCUGAGUGAUUCAGAUCACACCGUCCGCUCAUUCCUGCCCAAACGUCUUACAUUAUGUGUUGUCGCUGUGCAGUGCACUUCUUACACUUGGCAUGUUUGAAGCAAUAUCAGUGGUGAUAUGUUUUGACAACAUUUCAAAACCCUUUGCUUUGUAAUGCUAAUCACACUGAUUCAAUAGGAAAACACGGACACAUGCUAAAUGGAUAGCUGACGGAUGGUUGAAGUCUUAAACACUGAUGGCUGGACUCUACGCUCGUGAAGAAUAAUAAUGUUAACUGGUUGUGAUGGAAGUGUUUUCAGGGUUUCACUGGUUGCUCUCGCCGCUCGGAUCCAGGGUUCAUUGUCAGGGCUGGAUCACAGUCUCCGUGUGCCCCAGACCUGCAGCUCACAUCUGGCUGCAGCGCGGCUCCUGCACCACUAAACGUGGCCAGGUGUUGGCCCACAGCGACGCUCACGUCUUCAGGCUUGCAGACGCUGAUGUAAUUGCUCUUUUCAUUGAACUGUAAAAAAUGAAAAGUCAGAUAGACACAGAACUGUGUGUGUGUGUAUGUGUGUGUCUGCAUCUGUUCAUGCCUGCGUCUGUUUGUGUGCCUGUGUGUGUUAUUUGUGUGUUUCUGUCUCUAUGUGUCAUGCGAGUCCUCUCCCCAGAGAAACAAGGCGGCCUUGCACUACAGACGGGAGGCCUGCUUGCUUUUAGAGAUGAUAUGAGGGCAAGAUCAAUUAAUGUAUUCAUGAUAUUUAUAUAUUUAAAUAUAUUUAUACGGGAGUAACCCAUAGGGGUGGUGGCCUCCCAUCUUCCUAAUGAUAUGCAAAUGGAGUGUAAUACUUAAUGUUUUGUUCUGUCUCAAGUUCAUCCCAAUGUGUUCAAUGGGGUUGUGAGUGACACGGUAGACAGUAGACAGAAGACGACUAGAUGACUGGCCUAUCCAAUAACGCCACAAAGUUAGAAAUGACAAAGGAGCUUCCCCAAAGCAAAUAGCAAAACAACCAUUUCUAAUGCAAAGUUAUAGUAAGAACAUAUUGAACUGUAAUUUGCGAGUUAAAUGUGCUUUAUAUUGACUGUAAUUAAGUCUCUUAUCGAUGGGUUGUCUCCUCUAAUAUGAAACGGCGCCAUAACACACACACGCGCACGCGCUCGCACGCGCACACACACACAGCCUCAUCAGGAUGCUGAAGCAAACCCUCCCAGGUUAGCCACAUAGGGAGAUAUAAUUAAUCGGAUCUAAUCUUCAUUUAACUGGAAACCACAGGGGUCUCAGACAGGUAAUGCUGCAUUCAUCGCCUGGUGAAUUAAGGUUGUUGUUGUUCGUUUUAAAAUGCAAGACUCUCAAAUCCAAAUUUCAUAGGGGGUUAUUAUAAUAAUCAUUUAAAAAUAAGCUAUUGGCUCCAAAGUCAAACAUCAAAAUAUCCAAAAGGGGUUUAAAAGUGUAAACGUUGAAUAGGUAUUAGUUUGUGGGACACAGUAUCGUCUUAGAGUGCUGCCCGUGAUGAAUGUCCUCUUGGUGAGACUGAGCUGUUGUAGUGUUAGUGUACAGUACAGUAGCUACAGUAUGUGACAAGGUGAGAACAGGUUGGCUCCCCAGCCUGGUCCCAGAUCUGUUCGUGCUGUCUGACCAAUAAAGGGCCAUAAGAGUUGACAAAACAGCACAAACAGAUCUGGAAACAGAUCAUUUUACUGGAGCACAGGUUAACCACAUCUACAUUCCUCUGUCGCCAUGACACUGGCAGGAAAUAAGCGCCGAACAGAAACAGAGCUAGAACAGACUCUGUUCUCUAUUGGUCUGUCCAAAAUGGCACCCUAUUCCCUACAUAGUGCACUACUUUUCAAAAGUAGUGCACUAAACUCCAGUAUUCGGGGGCCUAAUUUGUGUCACACUUUUGGCCCAGCCCCAGCUACCACACCUGACUCCAAUAAUCAACUAAUCGUGAUAUUCCAUUUUAGAAUGCAGUUCGUUUAAUGAGAUGUGUUGGCUAGUGAUGGUAAAAAGUGACACCACUCUGGCCCCCGAGGGCUGGAGUUGCCCAUCCCUGAUACAGGGAGUAUCAGACACAACCCGGAACAGAUGCUGCUCUCUGAGCUGUGUGAAUGGCGGCAGCACUGCAGAUUAGCAUCAGCCAGCAGUCAUUUGUAAUGUCAACGUGGUCAUUGAGGAUGUUUUCCAAAGAGCCCCCUCUGCCUUCUGAUAAGAUUUGUCCAGACUGUUUUUCAGUUCUGUUCUGUUUAACGUCCUCUUCCAUUUCUAGGAACACGUGAGCAAAGGUACUGUAAUUAACAAAAAACAUGUUUUUGCUGAAUCAGCCGAGGAUAUGAAUAUUUACCUCAUUGAGUUGUUCCCUUAAUAUUAAUACAUUUUUCAGUUUGCACUGAAAUAAGUAUGUAUGAUUAAACCUCAAAGUUAUUUUGCAAGUAUAUUUUUUAAUUAUGGUUAAUAUCAUAUUUAUUGUAUUGAUUUGGCAAGCUGAUUGGUGAUUUAUCGUUUACCUUCUCAUAUCCUAAUCCUCUUUAGUAAUGCUGACAUUUGGAGAAUUCUUGAUUUACAUAAUUAGACAUCUUUGAUCUGAGAUUUGUGAAAUCCCCUCUUUCUCCCAUCCUGCCUUGUUUCUUUCCACAUCUCACAACCUUCACAUUGAUUCUGUGAGUCCUUGGCUUAGAUUUGACAUUUGAAA